AACGAACGUUGGCGGCGUGGAUUAGGCAUGCAAGUCGAACGAAUCUCACUCGGGUAGCAAUACUCGGGUGGGGGAAGUGGCGAAAGGGGCAGUAAGGCGUGGGUAACCUACCCCGGGGACCGGGAUAGCCGGCCCAACGGCCGGGUAAGACCGGGCGACGUGCACGGGUCGCAUGGCCUGGGCACCAAAAGGACAACCGCCCCGGGAGGGGCCCGCGUGGUAUUAGCUAGUUGGUGGGGUAAUGGCCUACCAAGGCUUAGAUGCCUAGCAGGCGUGAGAGCGUGGCCUGCGCCACUGGCACUGAGACACUGGCCAGACUCCUACGGGAGGCUGCAGUCGAGGAUCUUCGGCAAUGGGCGCAAGCCUGACCGAGCGACGCCGCGUGCGCGACGAAGGCCUUCGGGUUGUAAAGCGCUGUCGGGGGGGAGGAAAGCCCGCAAGGGUCUGACCCACCCCCGGAGGAAGCACGGGCUAAGUUCGUGCCAGCCGCCGCGGAAAAA
This 500-nucleotide ribosomal RNA is filed under the name uncultured bacterium. Its description in RNAcentral is "bacterial SSU rRNA". It matches the Rfam family "Bacterial small subunit ribosomal RNA", at positions 28 to 525 of the family's 1533-position model. The record is from RNAcentral.